UGAAGUUGGAAUUGCUAGUAAUGGCAGGUCAGCAUACUGCCGUGAAUACGUUCCCGGGCCUUGUACACACCGCCCGUCACACCAUGAGAGUUGGAGAUACCCGAAGCCUGUGAGCUAACUCUUUAAGAGGCAGCAGUCGAAGGUAGAAUCAAUGAUUGGGGUGAAGUCGUAACAAGGUAUC
This 181-nucleotide ribosomal RNA is filed under the name uncultured bacterium. RNAcentral describes it as "partial 16S ribosomal RNA". It matches the Rfam family "Bacterial small subunit ribosomal RNA", at positions 1321 to 1500 of the family's 1533-position model. The record is from RNAcentral.